RNA transcript from Mandrillus leucophaeus (drill), 662 nucleotides. It is a transcript of the gene named Ig lambda-1 chain C regions-like, with no coding region annotated. The transcript has 2 exons. The record is from RefSeq and is a predicted model, not a curated record. Lineage: Eukaryota; Metazoa; Chordata; Mammalia; Primates; Cercopithecidae.
AUGGCGGACCUGGAGGCAGUGCUGGCCGAUGCCAGUUACCUGAUGGCCAUGGAGAAGAGCAAGGCGACCCCGGCCGCCCGCGCCAGCAAGAGGACAGUCCUGCCCGAGCCAAAUAUCCAGAUACAGCUCCUGGACUGGCCCCAGGGUUUUCAACUGAAGCAUAAUUCACAGAAGCAUGUGUUUGGCAGCGGGACCCAGCUCACCGUUUUAGGUCAGCCCAAGGACAACCCCUUGGUCACUCUGUUCCCACCGUCCUCUUAGGCGCUCCAAACCAUCAAGGCCACACUGGUGUGUCUCAUGAAUGACUUCUAUCUGGGAAUCUUGACGAUGACCUGGAAGGCAGAUGGUACCCCCAUCACCCAGGGUGUGGCGAUGACCACACCCUCCAAACAGGGCAACAACAAGUACUCGGCCAGCAGCUACCUGAGCCUGACGCCCGAGCAGCGGGGGUCCCACAGAAACUACCGCUGCCAGGUCACGCAUGAAAGGAGCACCGUGGAGAAGACGGUGGCCCCUGCAAAAUGUUCAUAGAUUCCCAGCCCUCACCCCACCCACAGGGGCCUGGAGCUGCAGGAUCCCAGGGGAGGGGUCUCUGCAUCCUAAGCCAUCCAGCCCUUCUCCCUGUACCCAGUAAACCCUCAAUAAAUAUCCUCCGUCAACCA